RNAcentral lists this ribosomal RNA (460 nucleotides) under uncultured bacterium. RNAcentral's name for it is "partial 16S ribosomal RNA". It matches the Rfam family "Bacterial small subunit ribosomal RNA", at positions 338 to 795 of the family's 1533-position model. The record is from RNAcentral.
CCUACGGGUGGCAGCAGUGAGGAAUAUUGGUCAAUGGGCGUAAGCCUGAACCAGCCAAGUCGCGUGAGGGAUGAAGGUUCUAUGGAUCGUAAACCUCUUUUAUAAGGGAAUAAAGUGCGGGACGUGUCCCGUUUUGUAUGUACCUUAUGAAUAAGGAUCGGCUAACUCCGUGCCAGCAGCCGCGGUAAUACGGAGGAUCCGAGCGUUAUCCGGAUUUAUUGGGUUUAAAGGGUGCGUCGGCGGCCUUUUAAGUCAGCGGUGAAAGUCUGUGGCUCAACCAGAGAAUUGCCGUUGAAACUGGGAAGCUGGAGUAUGUGGGAGGCAGGCGGAAUGCGAGGUGUAGCGGGGAAAUGCGUAGAUAUCACGCGGAACCCCGGUUGCGAAGGCGGCCUGCCAGGCCAUGACUGACGCUGAUGCGCGAAAGCGUGGGGAUCAAACAGGAUUAGAUACCCUAGUAGUC